CGUCGUUGGAAUUUCUACCCCGAGAACGCGAGGGUUUCCUCCGCGGCCGCCGCCGCCGCGACCCCAUAUCCCGCCACUCCAUGGCCCCAGUCCUCGCUCCGCAGCCGCCAAAUCCGGACGAGUUCGUCGCCCUUUGCGCCGCCACCCCGGCAGCCCCUCUCGUCGGCGACUACCACGGGUGCGCCUCCCUCUCCCUCGAGACUCCAUCUCGACCUCGAGGCUCCAGCGCGACGCCACCUCCUGCCGACCGCGACUCCCUCCAGCGCUGCCGACGUCGCCCUUUGCGUCGCCACCCCGGCAGCCCCUCUCGCCGACGACCACCACGGGGGCGCCUCCCUCUCCCUGGAGGCUCCAUCUCCCCAGCGGCCUUCCCUCCUUUGCCCCGAGUCCAGGACCACCAGUUUGGUCAAAUUCCCUGUAGCCGCCGGUCAUGAUCGGCCGCACCGCCGCCCCUGGUCGACGCUAACGCCGCGGCGGACAGCGGGCUGCUGUGAUGAUGCACCGGGGUGUAGCGCAGCUCGGAGGCCUGGCUGCUGUGGUGGUGUUGGUCGUGGUGGACGGGGAACCGGCGGCAGGGAAACCCUGACUUCUGUAUGCAAUGCCGACCUUAAUGACAGAUGUUUCUGUGUUCGUUCUGGUGCCGUGGCUGCUUUGAUGCAUCAAAUCCCUCUGCUUCCCGGCGCCUCUCCAUCUCUUCCAGAUUGAUUUACAACUGGGACCGUCCCUAACAAAGUCUGCACAUCGAUCUGCUGUAACAUUGGCUGGGUUUUCUCUCCUCGACUCUACUAACACUCUGGAGUUACAAGCAAUUACAUCAGGUAGAUAUAUCUAUGUUUUACAACUGGGACUGUCCCUAACAAAGUCUGCACAUCGAUCUGCUGUAACAUUGGCUGGGUUUUCUCUCCUCGACUCUACUAACACUCUGGAGUUACAAGUAGAUAUAUCUAUGUUCUUUUUUUGCUUUGAGCUGCAUUGAUUUUAUUUGUAAACGGGGAGAGGCAGGUGAGCUGCCAGCACAUCUUGGCCACCACUGAUUUACGGACAAGACGAAUAGAUAUGCAGACUAAGCUCCAGGGAUUUCGGUAGUACAUGCCAUGUUUAUCCUCACUGCUGAAUAAUCUAUAUAUAACUAUUUUUGCAAUACUUGGACCACAGGAGCAAUUCGUUCUUUAUAUUUUGCUCGGGAUUGUGCCUUUCAUAAUAGAAGGGUAAGAUGUAUCGCAAUAUCUUUGACUUGCAUUCUCUGUGAUGUGAAGUAAGAAAAUAGAAUAUAUAAUAUUAAAUUAUCUUUUUCCUUUUUUUAAUGUCCCUAUCUUACUCAUAUAAUCCAAUUGGCAUUCACUAGAGUUUCUGUUGAUGAAACAUUUGUUUUGUGAUGUCAGGAGGUUUUCUUUGUGACUUUUCAAUCAAUAUUUGUAGAUACGGUUCGUAGAUCAUGAUAUCUGCACAAUCUCUAUCUACGUCCUGUGAUUAUAUAUUGUAUUAAUGGGUUGUGUCAGGCUUAUUUUAUCAACUGCUUGGUUGUUGACCUACAUUACGGUUUAAUUCUUAUAGCAGUUUAUGUUGACUCGAUUCCCUGUAGUAGGUUGAGAGGCUUCUCCUCUCAUGAUUUACUCUGAUCAGUUUGCUUUGCUCCAUGCUCCUCAUGAUUUCUUUGAAUUUUUCUGUAGGAGCUCAAUCAAAAAUCACCUAAGCAAAUAUGUCGUCCUUCUCUACAAGGGUUGGAUGUGGAAUUUGAGGAGAAUCUGUGCACCAGCAUUGGACUCCUUGAUGUUGCUCUGAUCAUAUUGUGUAAAUAUAUUUCUAAUAAAGCAAUUGCUCGAUGGUGUACAUGUUAGAAAUAACAAGAUGUAAUCAUCAAGUGUGAGAGAUGGCAACAUCAGGAUGGGAUGGUAUGUACUGUUGUGCUCAUCAAUAGUCACUGCGUUUGGUCUAUCCCGAGCCUCUGAUUGUGAUUCGUGUUCUUUUGAUAUGCACUUGCCAUGAUAUUGUGGCUGGACUUCUGGUAUGUGUUACCUCUAAUAAAUGUUGCAGAGCUCCCUCUCCUCUGCUUGAUUUUCCUUUUUUGGAUUUUCAUCAGCUUGCUUCGUUCUUCGGUCGACGGCAUCACAGUACCCCUGUCUAUGUGGACAAUGCCUAAUAUACUUCCACUGGAUGGCGACCAGGCCAGGAAGGGAGUGGACUUGUGCUGCUCACGGCUUUGCUCCUCUAUUCCCUCCUUUUCCUUUGAUGUUUCGAAACAUCUUGGAGUAGUGGAUGGAUCAGAUAUGGCCCAGUAGCACUGGUGGUUUUACUGUGCAGGAACAGUUCAACAUGUAGUUCUUGAUGGGAUUUAGUAAUUUUGGGUUGUUGAGCAAGAUCGUGGAAGCUAAUGCUGCUGAUUCAUGUGCAAUUAUUAUCCUUUUUUUUCUUCCUUAGAUUUUUGAGGUUUUUCUUAGAUGUUUUUUUAGAUAAGAUGUCUAGAGAUUUCAACUUGGUCAAUUCAUAUGCUUAACUAAUAUUUUAGAUAACGGAAGAUUGCUCCUGCGGCUGUUGCAUCGUUCCAUAUUUUAUAUUGCCUGAACAUGUUUUUUCUUUUGCCUGAUCCUACUUUGUUAAACAUCUUUUCCCAGUUAAGUGGCUCGGCUUUGCUAUUGUUUCUCUUGGUUUCACUCUGCAUAUCAAAAUCUCUUUUACGUACUAUGCAUUUAUGCUCUAUCUGCACUGUAAUUCAACAUGUCUUCCUUCCGGCUACAGCUAAUACCUCUGUCUCAAGCGUAUAUUAUUGAAGUAAUGCUUUUUGAUUGAUUAUAUAAUUGUAUAUUGUUCUUUGACUAUCUCAUAGGAAAUCAGAAGACCACUUUUGGAUAAGUUGGAUGGUAGGUCUUUCUCUGGAACUGUUUAUCAUCUGCAAAAAAAUUUGGCUGAUCAGAGCUCAGAAGCAAUGAGGAACAUGAAGCAGCAAAGAUAAUGAGUGACGGUGGUGGCUGGACUUCCCCGCCAUGAAGAUGAGCGGAAGGAGCAAGAGCACAUCUGAAGAUGGGGAGGGGUGGAGGUGGCGGUUCUGAAUUUGAAGACGGUGCUGUGAGGAGUAGCAGGAGGAGCAGCCGCCGACGGCCUGGCUGCAUGUGUUAUCUUCAAUCUUCGGUGUAUGGAUCAACACAGAACUAUAAGGUUUUGCGAGGAAUCAAGGCUUGUUUUCUCUGUAUCAUGAUAAGAUGAACCUAAACUUGCAAUUCCUCUACUACUGCCCAUUGCCCAGUACAGGUCCAAGAGAACAAUAUUUGCAUUCUGAAUGUCUGCCUGCACACAACCAGGUUCUAGAUGAGUGUGUGUACAACACUACAACCUGCAAAAUAGAUUUUCCACGUGCUUGUUGUCAAUAUUUGCGGUACAAUUUGAAAUUCAUAAUGCACCAAAGUUAUUGUGGUGUGAUGAUCUGAUUUAAAGCUUUUAAGUAAUGGAUUAUACAAAUCAGCA
Molecule: long non-coding RNA, 3459 nt
Organism: Triticum dicoccoides
Lineage: Eukaryota; Viridiplantae; Streptophyta; Magnoliopsida; Poales; Poaceae
Exons: 6
Source: RefSeq, a predicted model, not a curated record